This is a long non-coding RNA of Lacerta agilis (Sand lizard), 326 nucleotides long. RefSeq lists it as uncharacterized. The transcript has 2 exons. NCBI's taxonomy places the organism in Eukaryota, Metazoa, Chordata, Lepidosauria, Squamata, Lacertidae. The record is from RefSeq and is a predicted model, not a curated record.
UGAAAGGGAAUUGAGUGUUGCUCCUGUGAUAUCCAGGGAAUUGUCUGACGGUGUAGUGCUAUUUAUGAUAAUAAGCAGAUCUAGGUUAAGAUCCAGACAGGGCCAAACUAGACAGUGGGUGAUCCAUGAUCAGAAGAGAUGUGGAUGGCCCUUCCUGGAGCUCUUCCUUCAACUGCAGAUUCACUGAUGUCUCAAAAGCUGUUCCUUGGUAACUGGUCUAAUACUAGAUAGACUUAUCAGGCUGCUUGGUGCUCUAGUUUGAGAAUGUUCUGAAAAGUAUCAAAUUAGCAUGUGCCACAUCUAAGAUUAUAUGAAAUCAAGAAUUA